RNAcentral lists this ribosomal RNA (497 nucleotides) under uncultured bacterium. RNAcentral describes it as "partial 16S ribosomal RNA". It matches the Rfam family "Bacterial small subunit ribosomal RNA", at positions 28 to 507 of the family's 1533-position model. The record is from RNAcentral.
GAUGAACGCUGGCGGCGUGCCUAAUACAUGCAAGUCGAGCGAACAGACGAUGAGCUUGCUCCUCUGACGUUAGCGGCGGACGGGUGAGUAACACGUGGAUAACCUCCCUAUCAGACUGGGAUAACUUCGGGAAACCGGCGCUUAUCCCGGAUAAUAUCUUGAACCGCAUGGUUCAAUAGUGAAAGACGGCUUUUCUGUCACUUAUAGAUGGAUAUGCGCCGCAUUAGCUAGUUGGUAAGGUAAAGGCUUAUCAAGGCUACGAUGCGUAGCCGACCGGUGAGAGUGAUCGGCGACACUGGAAGUGAAACACGGUCCAGGCGCCUACGGGAGGCAGCAGAAGGGUAUCUUCCGCAGUGGGCGAAAGUCUUGCGGAGCAACGCCGCGUGAGAGAUGAAGGUCUUCGGAUCGUAAUACUCUGUUAUGAGUGAAGAACAAAUGUGUAAUUAACUAUGCACGUCUUGACGGUACCUAAUCAGAAAGCCACGGCUAACUACGUG